RNAcentral lists this ribosomal RNA (253 nucleotides) under uncultured bacterium. Its description in RNAcentral is "partial 16S ribosomal RNA". It matches the Rfam family "Bacterial small subunit ribosomal RNA", at positions 524 to 776 of the family's 1533-position model. The record is from RNAcentral.
UACGGGGGGGGCAAGCGUUGUUCGGAAUUACUGGGCGUAAAGGGCUCGUAGGCGGCCAACUAAGUCAGACGUGAAAUCCCUCGGCUUAACCGGGGAACUGCGUCUGAUACUGGGUGGCUUGAGUCCGGGAGAGGGAUGCGGAAUUCCAGGUGUAGCGGUGAAAUGCGUAGAUAUCUGGAGGAACACCGGUGGCGAAGGCGGCAUCCUGGACCGGUAUUGACGCUGAGGUGCGAAAGCGUGGGGAGCAAACGGG